AACCACCUCGCAGGCCGUUCCUCUCGAUCCCCUCCCAUCACCGCUGCCGUUCCUCUCGAUCCCCUCCCGUCGCCGUCGUCGUCCUCUCGAUCCCCUCGAGUAAGCGGCGCCGUAGUUGGCUCCCAUUCCUCUCGAUCCCCUCUCGUCGAUGCUGCCGCCCUCUCGAUCCCCUCCCGUCGCCGCCGCCGUCCUCUCGACCCCCUCAAGUAAGCGGCGCCUCCGUUGGCUCCUGAUCUCCUCCAUGGCGGAUUCCCACGGACGCCGCGGUAUGGCAUGGUCGCGUUAAUCGCAUGGAGGGUCGCGUCGAGGAAAGCGACGACCUCGCAGGCAUCGGGUUAAGCGGCUGGCCCUUCUUACGCGAUUGCGCUGAUCUUUUCUUCACCGGCAGAGAUUGGUGCCGCCACGGCCGCAUCAUGGAUUUUGCCCUGCAUCGCCUCUGAUUUGGGAGUUUGUUUUUUUUGCGCUGGAUCCUGAUUUGGGCGGGAUUUUUUUCCCAGGCAUUGAGCGCGCUCUGGACGGCGGGAACUGUCCCGUGAAGGAGGACGCUAUGGACGGUGGAUCCAGGGCGCUACAUGUCGCUGUCGGCCACGGGAGGAUGCCAUACCCUUUGGGCACAACAAACUCCUUGCCAUAGCCUCUUCCGCUUUUCACAACAAGAAAGAGAUGCAUAUGAGAGGAAGAGAGCCUCCCCCAAGCUCUGUCUAGGCGAUGCACGGGAAAUUUGGAAACUAUCAAGGAGAUGUCGAAUGAUGAAUAUACUCAGACACUGAGACACAUUCUAAAACAUGUUUACGUAGGUGAUGGGGCUGCCGCCAACUUGGGCCCGCUCAAGAAUGGCCACUCUACAGGAGGGGGAUGGAGUCGCGGAAGCUCCUGUGCUAUUGGGAGCGACGGUUCCACAAUGAGCCGGUCUUUCGUCACCUCUGAGUUGGAGGAUGUCCAAGGCCGGAAGUGUUCGUCACCACUAAGCCGCGGUAAGUAAGGAAUUUUCCAGAGAGUGGUGGAUGAAUUUUUUUCUCCAAAUGGUGGUGGAUCUAUGCAUGU
Molecule: long non-coding RNA, 1044 nt
Organism: Triticum aestivum (bread wheat)
Lineage: Eukaryota; Viridiplantae; Streptophyta; Magnoliopsida; Poales; Poaceae
Exons: 3
Source: RefSeq, a predicted model, not a curated record